GACGAACGCUGGCGGCGUGCUUAACACAUGCCAGUCGAACGGAAAGGCCCUGCUUUUGUGGGGUGCUCGAGUGGCGAACGGGUGAGUAACACGUGAGUAACCUGCCCUUGACUUUGGGAUAACUUCAGGAAACUGGGGCUAAUACCGGAUAGGAGCUCCUGCUGCAUGGUGGGGGUUGGAAAGUUUCGGCGGUUGGGGAUGGACUCGCGGCUUAUCAGCUUGUUGGUGGGGUAGUGACUUACCAAGGCUUUGACGGGUAGCCGGCCUGAGAGGGUGACCGGCCACAUUGGGACUGAGAUACGGCCCAGACUCCUACGGGAGGCAGCAGUGGGGAAUAUUGCACAAUGGGCGGAAGCCUGAUGCAGCAACGCCGCGUGCGGGAUGACGGCCUUCGGGUUGUAAACCGCUUUCGCCUGUGACGAAGCGUGAGUGACGGUAAUGGGUAAAGAAGCACCGGCUAACUACGU
Molecule: ribosomal RNA, 467 nt
Filed under: uncultured bacterium
Lineage: Bacteria
Description: partial 16S ribosomal RNA
Rfam family: Bacterial small subunit ribosomal RNA
Source: RNAcentral